GACGAACGCUGGCGGCGUGCUUAACACAUGCAAGUCGAACGGACAGACAGAGAGCUUGCUCUCUUGAAGUUAGUGGCGAACGGGUGAGUAACGCGUAAUCAACCUGCCCUUCAGAGGGGGAUAACAACGGGAAACCGUUGCUAAUACCGCGUACGAUCCAUGAACGGCAUCGUUUAUGAAUGAAAGGUGGCCUCUAUGUAUAAGCUAUCGCUGAAGGAGGGGAUUGCGUCUGAUUAGCUAGUUGGAGGGGUAACGGCCCACCAAGGCAAUGAUCAGUAGCAGGUCUGAGAGGAUGAACGGCCACAUUGGGACUGAGACACGGCCCAAACUCCGACGGGAGGCAGCAGUGGGGAAUCUUCCGCAAUGGACGAGAGUCUGACGGAGCAACGCCGCGUGAGUGAUGAAGGUCUUCGGAUUGUAAAGCUCUGUUAAUCGGGACGAAAGAGUUCUGCGUGAAUAAUGCAGAAAAGUGACGGUACCGGAAUAGAAAGCCACGGCUAACUACGUGCCAGCCGCCGCGGUAA
RNAcentral lists this ribosomal RNA (524 nucleotides) under uncultured bacterium. RNAcentral's name for it is "partial 16S ribosomal RNA". It matches the Rfam family "Bacterial small subunit ribosomal RNA", at positions 28 to 523 of the family's 1533-position model. The record is from RNAcentral.